GUCCGUGCCCUAAACGAUGAGUGCUGGAUUUUGGGAGUAUCGACCCUCCCAGAGUCGUUCAAAUAAGCUAACGCGUUAAGCACUCCGCCUGGGGAGUACGGCCGCAAGGCUAAAACUCAAAGGAAUAGACGGGGACCCGCACAAGCGGUGGAACAUGUGGUUUAAUUCGACGGUAAGCGAGGAACCUCACCAAGGUUUGACAUGCAACUGCAAAUCUCCUGAAAGGGAGACUCCUUCGAGGGUGUUGCACAGGUGCUGCAUGGUUGUCGU
This 270-nucleotide ribosomal RNA is filed under the name uncultured bacterium. Its description in RNAcentral is "partial 16S ribosomal RNA". It matches the Rfam family "Bacterial small subunit ribosomal RNA", at positions 793 to 1055 of the family's 1533-position model. The record is from RNAcentral.